This 464-nucleotide ribosomal RNA is filed under the name uncultured bacterium. RNAcentral describes it as "partial 16S ribosomal RNA". It matches the Rfam family "Bacterial small subunit ribosomal RNA", at positions 339 to 795 of the family's 1533-position model. The record is from RNAcentral.
CUACGGGCCGCUCCAGUGGGGAAUAUUGCGCAAUGGGGGCAACCCUGACGCAGCCAUGCCGCGUGUGUGAAGAAGGCCUUCGGGUUGUAAAGCACUUUCAAUGGGGAAGAAAAGCGUAGCGUUAAUAGCGUUGCGCCGUGACGUUACCCAUAGAAGAAGCACCGGCUAACUCCGUGCCAGCAGCCGCGGUAAUACGGAGGGUGCGAGCGUUAAUCGGAAUUACUGGGCGUAAAGCGCGCGUAGGCGGUUUGUUAAGUCAGCUGUGAAAGCCCCGGGCUUAACCUGGGAACUGCAGUUGAUACUGGCCGACUAGAGUACGAGAGAGGGAGGUAGAAUUCCAUGUGUAGCGGUGAAAUGCGUAGAUAUAUGGAGGAAUACCGGUGGCGAAGGCGGCCUCCUGGCUCGAUACUGACGCUGAGGUGCGAAAGCGUGGGGAUCAAACAGGAUUAGAUACCCGAGUAGUC